GGCGGACGGGUGAGUAACGCGUGGGUAACCUGCCCUGUACAGGGGGACAACAGUUAGAAAUGACUGCUAAUACCGCAUAAGCGCACAGGACCGCAUGGGUCCCGGGUGUGAAAAAACUCCCGGUGGGUACAGGAUGGAACCCGCGUCUGAUUAGGUAGUUGGCCGGGGGUAACGGCCCCACCAAGCCGACGAUCAGUAGCCGACCUGAGAGGGUGACCGGCCACAUUGGGACUGAGACACGGCCCAA
Molecule: ribosomal RNA, 247 nt
Filed under: uncultured Bacillota bacterium
Lineage: Bacteria; Bacillati; Bacillota
Description: uncultured Firmicutes bacterium partial 16S ribosomal RNA
Rfam family: Bacterial small subunit ribosomal RNA
Source: RNAcentral